RNAcentral lists this unclassified non-coding RNA (341 nucleotides) under soil metagenome. RNAcentral's name for it is "partial contains 5.8S ribosomal RNA, internal transcribed spacer 2, and large subunit ribosomal RNA". The stretch from base 1 to 120 matches the Rfam family "5.8S ribosomal RNA", at positions 35 to 154 of the family's 154-position model. The record is from RNAcentral.
GAUGAAGAACGUAGCGAAAUGCGAUAAGUAAUGUGAAUUGCAGAAUUCAGUGAAUCAUCGAAUCUUUGAACGCACAUUGCGCCCAUUAGUAUUCUAGUGGGCAUGCCUGUUCGAGCGUCAUUUCAACCCUUAAGCCCUCGUUGCUUAGUGUUGGGAGCCUACAGUUUAUUCUGUAGCUCCCCAAAAUCAGUGGCGGAGUCGUUUCACACUCUAGGCGUAGUAAAUUUUAUCUCGCUUCUGUAGUUGGAUCGUCCCUUGCCGUAAAACCCCCAAUUUUUAAAGGUUGACUUCGGAUCAGGUAGGAAUACCCGCUGAACUUAAGCAUAUCAAUCAGCGGAGGA